UUCAUUUGCUUAAAACAAACAACAUUCCAAUUUUCUCUGUCUGCAUCUUUGGGUUUUAUUUAAUGCAGUCAUUUUAAAUUUACUCUGAUAUCUGCCCUUGCAGCUGUAGACUGUGUUCUGCAACCCCAACUGAACCAAACUGCGAGUGGAGGGCUGAGCCCAUUGCCUGAGAAGCACAACUGCAGUUUUGUGUUUCAGCUCUGUUCGAAAGCACAGGGAUUGCACUGCAAAGGCACUGAGGAGGGACCACGAUGCCACCUGGACCAGUUUCAGUGUGCCCAGCUGAUCUCAAGUCAGACCUGAGCAGUGGUACAGUGUCAGGCAUGUGAGAUAUUGGUGCCGGGCCGCACAGCCCCUUCCAGAACAGCGCUAUGAUCCGCUGAGCCUGGUACUGGAACUCUGGUGCAGAUCCACCCACAGCCCGAGGUGUGGCUGUCAGCAUUGCAGCACCAGGGGCUGCCAAGGCCUUUCGUGUCCUUUGGGGCUCUCGAUCUUUUGUUGGCCCUCUGUGCCCGACACAGAGCACAGGCUGUGCCUGAGCCCCUCCCCAGCACUGAGACCUGAGCUGGGCCUCACCCUGUAGGGCAGAGCCGUUCCAAUGGGGAGAGUGGAGGGGACCCAGGAAGCCCAGGGCAGCCUCUCGGGAGUACUGACAGUGCAGAGGCAAAGACUGGUUUGGCUUUGGAAACUGGACUCCUCCCACUAUCCCUGGGCAGAAGCAUAGAGAACACCAUUCCUAGUCAUGCCUUCUUCCUCAGGACCUGCCUGGAGGCUCCGGGGAGCUCAGGGCCAUGCUCUGGACUCCUGUUAUUUCAAUGCAGAAUCUCAGAGGACACCGAUCCCAGUCCUAUCCUCUUCCUGAGGGCUCACCUGGAGGCUACAGGGAGUUCAGGGCUGUUCACUGGACUCCUUUCAUGGUCCCCGUGCAGAAGCAUGUAGGACACCAGUCCCAGUCCUGCCCACAUCCUCAGGACUUGCCUGGAGGCUUCAGGGAGCUUGGUGCCAUCCACUGGACUUUUCCCUUUUUGUCAGUGCUGAAGCUAGAGGGCACCACUCCCAGUCCUGCCCUGUAAUAGAAAUGCUAAGUCAUGGCCUGAAGCAGUGAUUGAGCACCUGGUGGGAAGGCAGGGCCAACCCAGGGGUGCUCUGCCAGCAAUGCACCUGAUUGACUGGAAGGGCUGGAGCCAGGAUCCACCCCUUCCCAGACCUCAUUUAAGAGUUGCCAGUGGAGGUGAGGGUAUUUCCCGUUGGAGAUCACUGUCUACCUGAGGCCUUCCAAAGAUAAGCAGUUUUUUCCCUUUGUUUCUGCACCUGUGGCUGCAGCAUUUGGGCUCAUUCUUAUUUAUUGUAGCCAAAGACUUUUCCACCUCGCUAUUAUCAUAUUGUAGUCUUAGGUGCCUUUUUCCUGAGACUUCAGUGAAGAAGAGGUGAGAGGUUUUGGGGAAGGAUAAGGAUGGGAGAUGUGGAAGGAGGUAUUUUGAAGAGCAGCAGCUGGCCCAGGGGCUCUCUGGCAGAUGAUGACUCUUCAAUGCCAAGAUGGAAAUGGAGAGCCCCUGCUGUGCCACAAACAGAUAUCGCGACAUCUCCAGGCAAGCAUAUCAUGAUGUUAUAGUGCUUGCCUGUACCUGAUGGAGAUGGAUCCACCUCCUUUGGUUUCUUCUCAGGAGGUAGGUCCACUUCUAUGGGCUCAACAUCGCUCUUUGGUGGGUCUACGUCCAUUGCCUUGGGCUCACUGCUACUCCCCAGAAGCCUCUGCUUCUUUGGUAGAGGAGGAUUCAUUGUCCUCCUUGGAAGUUCCCACAGUGGGAGGGAAGGAUGUGUCUAUUUGAGCUCUCUGUCUCAGAUGUGUGCUUCCUCAACAGAAGUCGGUCAGCGAGUGGUGUUCUGUUGUCAGGGUCCCUGUUUCUAUAGCAGUCAGCAGGGAGGUGGCUCGGGACAUCAUAAGGCCAUGGCAGUGCGACCCUAAGAAUGUCCCAUGAGAACCAAAAUACGGCUGUGUUGGAAUAGAUGCCCAAGAGCCCUGUUUGUGCCUAGGGAGAUCGGUGUGCUUGCGUAUCCUGUGUGCUCUUCAGCAAGGACUUGGCAAGAACCAGCCCUGGAUGUUCGGCAAGGGAGCAGCAAUGAGAGAGGCGAGCCCAGUUAGUGGUGGGAGUCCUGAGCCAACGGGUGGCUGUGCCUCUGUCUAGACCGAAGAGGUUUGGACAUUUUCAGAUUAGCUUUGGAUAAGCCUCUGAACUUCUGGAUGCUUCUCCUAACCAGAUCAAACCUCUCAAAAGCUUGAGGUUUGUCCAUCACUAAUUUUCAUAUGAGUUACAUUAAAAACUCUUAAGUUGAAAUAUUUCUUAUUUUAAAAAUAGAAUAAUAAAACAAUAAAUCAGAAGGAAACGCAUGGUGGAAAAAAAAAGUAGAAAACAGAUGAAAAGCAAAAGGGAAAAGUGAACUUCGUAAAAAUACCAUACAUGCCAGACCCUUCAAAUAUGAUUUCCUGCAUAUUGCACUUUAAAAAGCAUGAUAUUACAACAUGCUCUCACAUGCAGGGGCCAAAAAUAUGAAAGAAUAAAGCCUUGUUUGAUCUCGAGUGUUGAAUGGAUGUCAUUUGACCCAUCCAUGAUCUGAUCCUAGACCUAGGACAUGUCAGAUGAUUUUCCACUCAAUGAGUGUCUGCACCACUCCCUUGUCUCUUCCCCACCCUCUUGUUGGACAGAUAGUGCUGACACGCUUCCUGUUAUGGGCUGCUGCUCCGGCUCUCGCGCCUGCUGGCACCGAGCCGCCUGUGGCUUGGGCACAGCACUUCAAAAGCCAUUUCUGGCACAUGGACGAAAUAUUUUGAAGUGAGUUUGGGUGGUUCCCAAAAAAACCUGCUCCAAGCGAGCAGAAAGAAAGCUUACAUUAUCUCAUGUAAAAGACCCAGAUCCUCUCCAGAGCCUGCCAGAGGUUUAUGAAAUGCUGCGUUGCUUCUGAGAAGCCUUGACAAAAAUAAAAAGCAUGAACAUGAUGCUGAGAAAACAGCUCAAUUGUCUGCUCUUAAUUUCUCAGGAUCUAUAAUGUACUUGAUGCCUGUCUUGUAAACGGUGCAAAGUACUUGUUUUGUAGUUGUUCAAAGCCAAUUGCACGUGUGAUGGAAGCUAUGGAAGAUGAAAGGGGGGAAACUUUAAAAAUGACACAGAAGUUAUGGCCACUACUAACACAUCUUUUGAAAUCAGUGUUUUAUGUGAUUUUUCAUUACUUAGUGAAAGUUUGUUGUACAAUUAGACCUUGAGAGCUUUGGAGAGAAGAUGCAGGCUGAAAAGCAGAUGCACAUUAUAUUUUGAUACAGAAACAGUGGUUGCUGGAGUCUUUGACAACAACGUCUUGAAUCAACAUGGAGUAACAGCUUUUCUCCUUUAACACGGCAUGACCAAGCCGGACAGGUGGAAACCUGAGCAGAGGUGUGUCCAGGACAGUCCCCCACCAGCGUGGAUGCCCUCACCCCACUGGAGCUGGUGGCCUUGGUGUGUCUCAGCCAGCACUGACCUGCCCAGGGAUGUGGCUGCAAUGGCUUAACGUUGGCAAUUAAUAGAGAAAUUCAAAAUGCCAAGAAUGUUGCUUAGAAAGAAGCAUGUGAUCCAGAUUUUCUGGUCUGCCCAAGCUGUGUUUGAAGCAAGACCAGGCGAGGGAAAACAAGUGUGACUUGGAGCUAUUUUUGAUGGCUUGAUCCUGGGACUAGUCCAGCUUCUGUAGCAAGUUAGAAUUGCUCUAGUUUCGUGCAAGCCCUGCUUGAAUUGAUGGCAUCAUGGUAUGUGAAUCUGUCCCCCUUUUGAUUGGAGCCCAUCUCCCCAUGCUGUGGGCUUGCAGAGCUGGUGUAUUCCCAGCGUGGCAGAGUACAGCCUUACUGCAUUAUGUCUGUAGAGAAUGCUGCAUAGGCCACUCCAUCCUUGGGCGAAUAACCGAUGGAGAAUGUGUGUAGUAUCCCACUAUUGUCAUAGCUGAGGUGAUCCAAACAGCAUAUAUGUGGGGCUGACCGUGGUCAGUGCCGUGAACAUGAGAGGAGCUGCAGCAAAGGAUACCUCCUGAAGUAACUCCUGAGGAAAUGUGCUUGAUAUCCCAUUGCUCUUCCAGGAGCUGCAGGCUGUGCCUGUGGAGCUGUGCAGGCUGCCAGACGUGGUCCCAUCACCUCGGUGUGGUUUUGGCCCCAGAGGAGGCUGCUGGUGAGGGGAAUGCCUGCAGGGAACAGAGGUGUGGUCUUCCCUUGUGCCCCUAUGCUCUGUUCUGUGCAUACAGCUGUGCAUUUGCUGGCAGUCUGAGAUGAGCAGCUCUGCUGCUCCUGGAGCCGAAUGGCUAUCCAGAUUAGUUCUUUGUAUUCUGCAUGGCUUUCUAGUGAAAUAAAACAAAACCAGAACACAGCCAUAUCUACUCUGCUGUUGCAUGAACUGUGUUGUUAGAGAAUCUCAGCCUGACAUUUAAAGUGUGGUUUCCCCUCAACCAUCCUUCCCCCCUCCCCCCCCCCCUUCGUGGUUUCCCCUCAACCAUCC
Molecule: non-coding RNA, 4511 nt
Organism: Meleagris gallopavo (turkey)
Lineage: Eukaryota; Metazoa; Chordata; Aves; Galliformes; Phasianidae
Source: RefSeq, a predicted model, not a curated record